The sequence is an unclassified non-coding RNA, 306 nucleotides long. Its record names the gene 7SK. It matches the Rfam family "7SK RNA". Rfam says of the family: 7SK was discovered as an abundant small nuclear RNA in the mid-70s but a possible function has only recently been suggested. Two independent studies have found that 7SK RNA binds the CDK9/cyclin T complex (known as elongation factor P-TEFb). The record is from Ensembl.
AGAUGUGAAGAUUAUUUGGCUGCAAUAUCCAGCCCAAUGACCACCAGGGUUGAUUCAGCUAAUGUGGCUGUCCAGGCAGGUGUCCCCUCCCUUCCUUCCUCACUGCUCCUCACACACACUCUCCUUAAAGCUGUGCACUUGGUCAAAGAGGAAGGCCUCUUCCAUAGAGGAGAACCUUCACUGACAGAGAAGGACUGUUUUGUGGUCAACAGUAUAUGAGUAGCUGUGUUCCUGCUAGAACCUCCAAACAAAUUCUCAAUCUGGGGCAGCUAGCCUCAAAGAUGGUCUUAAAUGAUUCCUGCCUUU